RNAcentral lists this unclassified non-coding RNA (320 nucleotides) under plant metagenome. RNAcentral's name for it is "partial contains 5.8S ribosomal RNA, internal transcribed spacer 2, and large subunit ribosomal RNA". The stretch from base 1 to 105 matches the Rfam family "5.8S ribosomal RNA", at positions 50 to 154 of the family's 154-position model. The record is from RNAcentral.
GAAAUGCGAUAAGUAAUGUGAAUUGCAGAAUUCAGUGAAUCAUCGAAUCUUUGAACGCACAUUGCGCCCGCCAGUAUUCUGGCGGGCAUGCCUGUUCGAGCGUCAUUACAACCCUCAGGCCGCCGGGCCUGGCGUUGGGGAUCGGCGGAAGCCCCCUGCGGGCACAACGCCGUCCCCCAAAUACAGUGGCGGUCCCGCCGCAGCUUCCAUUGCGUAGUAGCUAACACCUCGCAACUGGAGAGCGGCGCGGCCACGCCGUAAAACACCCAACUUCUGAAUGUUGACCUCGAAUCAGGUAGGAAUACCCGCUGAACUUAAGC